AUACGUAGGUGACAAGCGUUAUCCGGAUUUAUUGGGUUUAAAGGGUGCGUAGGCGGAUGAUUAAGCGUGAGGUGAAAUGCCACUGCUCAACAGUGGAACUGCCUCGCGAACUGGUUGUCUUGAAUGCUCCUGCCGUGGGAGGAAUGUGUGGUGUAGCGGUGAAAUGCAUAGAGAUCACACAGAACACCGAUUGCGAAGGCAUCUCACGAAGGGGUGAUUGACGCUGAGGCACGAAAGCGUGGGGAUCAAACAGGAUUAGAUACCCUGGUAGUCCACGCAGUAAACGAUGAUAACUAACCGCUGGGUCGUAGUGAUUCAGUGGCCAAGCGAAAGCGAUAAGUUAUCCACCUGGGGAGUACGACCGCAAGGUUGAAACUCAAAGGAAUUGACGGGG
This 394-nucleotide ribosomal RNA is filed under the name uncultured bacterium. Its description in RNAcentral is "partial 16S ribosomal RNA". It matches the Rfam family "Bacterial small subunit ribosomal RNA", at positions 523 to 918 of the family's 1533-position model. The record is from RNAcentral.